UUUAAGUGCAUCAAUUUGCAGGUGCCCAAAACAUAUUUGGGUAUGUUAGUGGGUUCAUUAUGUGCUCUGAUGGGUGUAUUGACUAUUGCAUUACCAGUGCCAGUUAUCGUUGCUAAC
Loa loa (African eye worm) is the source of this 117-nucleotide non-coding RNA. The record is from Rfam. Lineage: Eukaryota; Metazoa; Nematoda; Chromadorea; Rhabditida; Onchocercidae.